Molecule: long non-coding RNA, 322 nt
Organism: Neofelis nebulosa (Clouded leopard)
Lineage: Eukaryota; Metazoa; Chordata; Mammalia; Carnivora; Felidae
Exons: 3
Source: RefSeq, a predicted model, not a curated record
UUUUAGGGAGAGAGUAGUGAUGUCACUAUUAAAUGUGAUAUUUCACGAAUGGUUCUUUCACUUUCACGGCUGAAGAAACACACAUCUCUUAAGGCUUGCAUCUUCCCUCUACCUCUAUACUCCAAGUUCCUGGCUGGCACUGGAAUUACAUCUUUAGCACGGACAUCAUAACCUCCAGGUGAGAUUCAGGCUUGUUUCCGGGAAGAAACCCUGACAGAAAUUCAGAAGAACAGGAGCUGCAUUCCGUUAGGACAUGAAUACAUGAAAUGUUUGUCUUGGGAACUCCUAGAAGAAUGAGCUGGGACCCACUUUCCGAGGUCUG